This is a small nuclear RNA of Myodes glareolus (Bank vole), 170 nucleotides long. RefSeq annotates it as U1 spliceosomal RNA. The record is from RefSeq and is a predicted model, not a curated record. NCBI's taxonomy places the organism in Eukaryota, Metazoa, Chordata, Mammalia, Rodentia, Cricetidae.
GUGCCUACCUGUCAGGGGAGAUACCAUGGUCAAGAAGAUGUUACCCCCCUCCCCAGGAUGAGGCUCAUCUGUCACACUUGAGAUCUGCUGACCCCUGUGCUUUACCCUAAUGCAGGAAAGUUGUCUGCAUAAUUUGUGGCAGUAGGGAAUUGUAUUUGUACUCUUCCCUG